RNAcentral lists this ribosomal RNA (253 nucleotides) under uncultured bacterium. RNAcentral describes it as "partial 16S ribosomal RNA". It matches the Rfam family "Bacterial small subunit ribosomal RNA", at positions 524 to 776 of the family's 1533-position model. The record is from RNAcentral.
UACGUAGGUGGCAAGCGUUGUCCGGAUUUAUUGGGUUUAAAGGGUGCGUAGGCGGUUUUCUAAGUCAGUGGUGAAAUACGGCAGCUUAACUGUCGAGGUGCCAUUGAUACUGGGAGACUUGAAUACUGUGGAGGUAAGCGGAAUAUAUCAUGUAGCGGUGAAAUGCUUAGAUAUGAUAUAGAACACCAAUAGCGAAGGCAGCUUACUACGCAGUUAUUGACACUGAGGCUCGAAAGCGUGGGGAUCAAACAGG